RNAcentral lists this ribosomal RNA (253 nucleotides) under uncultured bacterium. RNAcentral's name for it is "partial 16S ribosomal RNA". It matches the Rfam family "Bacterial small subunit ribosomal RNA", at positions 524 to 776 of the family's 1533-position model. The record is from RNAcentral.
CACGUAGGGCGCAAGCGUUGUCCGGAAUUAUUGGGCGUAAAGAGCUCGUAGGCGGUUUGUUGCGUCUAUCGUGAAAACCUGCAGCUUAACUGUGGGCUUGCGGUGGAUACGGGCAGACUUGAGUUCGGUAGGGGAGACUGGAAUUCCUGGUGUAGCGGUGAAAUGCGCAGAUAUCAGGAGGAACACCGGUGGCGAAGGCGGGUCUCUGGGCCGAUACUGACGCUGAGGAGCGAAAGCGUGGGGAGCGAACAGG